Molecule: unclassified non-coding RNA, 354 nt
Filed under: uncultured fungus
Lineage: Eukaryota; Fungi
Description: sequence contains ITS1
Rfam family: 5.8S ribosomal RNA (bases 1-97)
Source: RNAcentral
GAAAUGCGAUACGCAAUGCGAAUUGCAGAAUCCGCGAGUCAUCAGAUCUUUGAACGCAAGUGGCGCCGAUUAUAUCGGCAUGUUUGUUUCAGUGUGGAAGGAAUCACAAAGCUAAAUGCGAUUGAUUUUCUGUAAAAAGGAAAUCUCUCGUUAAACAAGUCUGUUUCUCAACGGAGAACUAUGCUGUAUUAAUUUACGGCAUAACCUCCCUUCGCAACGAAGUAGUCUCAUGUAUUUUGAGAUCUCGCGGCGAAUCAAAGGGAUGGCGAAAGUACUCUAUUUUAUAAGAAACGCUUUUAAAACAACCUUUUCUACUACCACCUGAAAUCAAGCAAGACGACCCGCUGAACUUAA